GGGUGGGGUGCUACAUGUUUGAUAUUAGAGCCUAGGUUUAUGAUCAUUUGAGAUUAUGAUUUAAAUGGUAUAAGAACUUGAGUUAUAAUUACUUGAGAUUAUGGUACAAAUAAUAUUAAAAAGUAGUGAUUCAAUUAUAAGUAUUUCUUUAAAAUCUAAAAGAUGAUAUAUCUUGAGCGUAAGUAGGAUGGUUAUCAAAAAUU
Molecule: long non-coding RNA, 203 nt
Filed under: Elaeis guineensis (African oil palm)
Lineage: Eukaryota; Viridiplantae; Streptophyta; Magnoliopsida; Arecales; Arecaceae
Description: long non-coding RNA (EGUI_LNC026191)
Source: RNAcentral